UGCCAGCCGCCGCGGUAAUACGUCUGGUGCACGCGUUAUCCGGAAUCACUGGGUUUAAAGGGUGAGUAGGCGGAUAAAUAAGUCAGAGGUGAAAGCCCACAGCUUAACUGUGGAACUGCCUUUGAUACUGUUUAUCUUGAAUCAUGUUGAGGUUAGCGGAAUGAGUCAUGUAGCGGUGAAAUGCAUAGAUAUGACUUAGAACACCAAUCGCGAAGGCAGCUAACUAGGCAUGUAUUGACGCUGAGUCACGAAAGCGUGGGGAGCGAACAGGAUUAGAUA
RNAcentral lists this ribosomal RNA (279 nucleotides) under uncultured bacterium. RNAcentral describes it as "partial 16S ribosomal RNA". It matches the Rfam family "Bacterial small subunit ribosomal RNA", at positions 506 to 784 of the family's 1533-position model. The record is from RNAcentral.